UACCUCAAAAUUCCGCAACAGUCUGUUUUAUAAGUAAAGUAAAGAAUCAUCGGCUGAUGAUUCUUUACUGAUGAGACAGACUGUUGCGGAAUUU
This 94-nucleotide microRNA precursor is filed under the name Paramuricea clavata. The record is from RNAcentral. Lineage: Eukaryota; Metazoa; Cnidaria; Anthozoa; Malacalcyonacea; Plexauridae.